UACGGAGGGUGCAAGCGUUAUCCGGAUUUACUGGGUUUAAAGGGUGCGUAGGUGGGUGAAUAAGUCAGCGGUGAAAUCUCCGGGCUUAACUCGGAAACUGCCAUUGAUACUAUUCGUCUUGAAUAUCCUGGAGGUGAGCGGAAUAUGUCAUGUAGCGGUGAAAUGCUUAGAUAUGACAUAGAACACCGAUUGCGAAGGCAGCUCACUACGGGAUUAUUGACACUGAGGCACGAAAGCGUGGGGAUCAAACAGG
Molecule: ribosomal RNA, 253 nt
Filed under: uncultured bacterium
Lineage: Bacteria
Description: partial 16S ribosomal RNA
Rfam family: Bacterial small subunit ribosomal RNA
Source: RNAcentral